AGUGAACGCUGGCGGUAGGCCUAACACAUGCAAGUCGAACGGCAGCACAGUAAGAGCUUGCUCUUACGGGUGGCGAGUGGCGGACGGGUGAGGAAUACAUCGGAAUCUACUUUUUCGUGGGGGAUAACGUAGGGAAACUUACGCUAAUACCGCAUACGACCUACGGGUGAAAGCAGGGGAUCUUCGGACCUUGCGCGAUUGAAUGAGCCGAUGUCGGAUUAGCUAGUUGGCGGGGUAAAGGCCCACCAAGGCGACGAUCCGUAGCUGGUCUGAGAGGAUGAUCGGCCACACUGGAACUGAGACACGGUCCAGACUCCUACGGGAGGCAGCAGUGGGGAAUAUUGGACAAUGGGCGCAAGCCUGAUCCAGCCAUACCGCGUGUGUGAAGAAGGCCUUCGGUUUGUAAAGCCCUUUUGUUGGGAAAGAAAAGCAGCAGGUUAAUACCCCGCUGUUCUGACGGUACCCAAAGAAUAAGCACCGGCUAACUUCGUG
RNAcentral lists this ribosomal RNA (492 nucleotides) under uncultured bacterium. RNAcentral's name for it is "partial 16S ribosomal RNA". It matches the Rfam family "Bacterial small subunit ribosomal RNA", at positions 29 to 507 of the family's 1533-position model. The record is from RNAcentral.